GGAUUAGAUACCCUGGUAGUCCACACCGUAAACGCUGUCUACUAGCUGUUUGUGUAUUCUAUACGUGAGUAGCGAAGCUAACGCGCUAAGUAGACCGCCUGGGGAGUACGGCCGCAAGGUUAAAACUCAAAUGAAUUGACGGGGGCCCGCACAAGCGGUGGAGCAUGUGGUUUAAUUCGAUGCAACGCGAAGAACCUUACCUACUCUUGACAUACUUGGAAUUUUUCAGAGAUGAAUUAGUGCCUUCGGGAACCAAGAUACAGGUGCUGCAUGGCUGUCGUCAGCUCGUGCUG
This 293-nucleotide ribosomal RNA is filed under the name uncultured bacterium. RNAcentral describes it as "partial 16S ribosomal RNA". It matches the Rfam family "Bacterial small subunit ribosomal RNA", at positions 775 to 1067 of the family's 1533-position model. The record is from RNAcentral.